UACGUAGGGGGCUAGCGUUGUCCGGAAUCAUUGGGCGUAAAGCGCACGUAGGCGGAUUUGUAAGUCAGGGGUGAAAUCCCGGGGCUCAACCUCGGAACUGCCUUUGAUACUGCAAAUCUCGAGUCCGGAAGAGGUGAGUGGAAUUCCUAGUGUAGAGGUGAAAUUCGUAGAUAUUAGGAAGAACACCAGUGGCGAAGGCGGCUCACUGGUCCGGUACUGACGCUGAGGUGCGAAAGCGUGGGGAGCAAACAGG
This 253-nucleotide ribosomal RNA is filed under the name uncultured bacterium. RNAcentral describes it as "partial 16S ribosomal RNA". It matches the Rfam family "Bacterial small subunit ribosomal RNA", at positions 524 to 776 of the family's 1533-position model. The record is from RNAcentral.